RNAcentral lists this unclassified non-coding RNA (5618 nucleotides) under Leishmania donovani. Its description in RNAcentral is "gene:LdHU3.33.3310(CDS-product:hypothetical_prote in_conserved)". Lineage: Eukaryota; Euglenozoa; Kinetoplastea; Trypanosomatida; Trypanosomatidae. The record is from RNAcentral.
CGUGCGUCUGUCGGUGCAUCGACUGAGCGCAAACAAAGAGCACCCGAUCACCAGGAAGACGACCGCCCUCACCACGCGGCGGCCCGUCCGACUCUUUCUUCCGCUUCCGUUCUCGUACAACAUCUUGCAGUACGUCUAUCCGCAGACCAACACGCAAAGAGAGAAGAGGCGGCUCAGCAUCGAUUUCUUCAGCGGCUUACUUGAGGCGCGGCAGCGGACAACUGCGACACUGGCGCUCCGCUUGUGCUGAACGCUGUCUCGUCCGCCUUUAUAUAUACACACAAAUCCUUGUUGUUCGUGUGCUCUUGACGGGCUCUAGACGAGCCUACCGCUCGCUUCCUUCUCUCGCUACCCCUGCCACCCACUCAAUAGCGCAUCUGCGGUGCAAGCCCACGCUGCCAUUUUCUUUGGUUGCUUUCUCGCCUCGAAGGCCACUCUCCUGCCCCCGUGCCCUCCCCUCUCUCAUUAUGGGCGCCUUUGCUUUGUGUUUGGAGAGCGCGGCACGCGACAUUCGAUCGCUGCUCACGCUGCAUCGCGUGCAUCCGCAGGUGCGCAGCGACAUUCAGCGCAUUCUUGGCAGUCUUCUCCGAAAGAACUAUGAGAACAUGACGGUGCCCUUACCGAUGGACCUGAUCGAUCCCCCGGAGCAGGUGUGCCGGGAGCUGGUGAAUGGCAUCGUGGAGGACGCCUUCAAGACAGCACUUCCGGCGUCCGACAUGCGCGCCUUGGAGCGCCGUUGUGUCGAGCUCCAGCAGGACAAUGCCGAGUUGAAGGCCGCUGCCGACAAUGCUGACGAAAGCGUCAUGGAGUUGCGGGAAGUGCUGUCGGAUCUCAAGAGGGCACACGAAUACAUGCUUCAUAGCUACUUUAGGGAGGUCCUGAUGCUGCGCUGCCGCAUCGACGAUCUUCAGCGACAGCUUCGCACUCGCCGACUGCACUCCAUGACUCUCGCGCCCCUUCUCGGUGGCAGCGCUGCGCAGCUUAUCCCCACAGUAGAGUCUCAAUUGCAGCACUUCCUCGUCAACACAAGCGUAGCCACGGGGCAGGGCGAGCCGGCGAGCCAGUCGUCGACGUCGCCACCCAGGACACCGCUGCCGCCGAGCGGGUCAUCGGACGAGGAAUCAGAAGCGGAUGAUGGCCCCGUGCGUCGGCGGAUCUCGACUCAUAUCAGCCAUCGCGGAGAAGGGCGUGACGCUGACGCGCAAGCACAAACAAGACCGCCCGCGCUGGGGGCGGCUACAGUCGGCGCUGCGCCGGCAGCACCACCCGAUGCAAAGGGGUGGUCCGCGACGCCUCACCCGAAACACAAAGGCUACAGUAUCCGCAUCAACGUCCCGAUAGGCACUGCUGCUCGCGCGCGGACGCCGGGGUCACCGCGCAGUGCGACGGCUCAGAAGACGACAACGUUUGAGGUGUGGAGCACGGAGACCGAUAGCGUUGACGCGAUCUUUGAUUACGAAGAGUACCUCCGCAUCCUCAACGGCGCGGAUGCUGCCUGGUUGCAGCGCUUCACGGAUGCGAUGGGUGGCUCGGAGCGCGCGAGCCCGCGGCAUCGUUGUCACUCGCUGAGUGUGCGCACUCGCACCAAAUCAAAGGUGAGCUUCCUCUCCGGCAGCCUAGCCUCAAACCCCGACGACCCCUCGUCUUCUGCGGCGCUUUCGAAGGAGGGGGCGAACGCCAACGGGUUCCGCUGGUUGUUGCACCUCGCCCUGGAGCCGAUCAAGCACAAAUUUCACAUGGAGCUGGACCAGCUGCGGCAGGCGGUUCAAACCAUGCAACGGGAGCACGCAGACCAGGUGCAGCUGAUUGAGCGCGCACUCUCGACCGUGCAGAGCCGCAACGAUGCAUUGCUCGACUUCAUCAACACGUUUGCGCAGCAGGCUCGGCAAACCUUGGUGGUGGUGGCUCGUGACGUGCAGGCGCGGAGCAUGGUGGAGCUCCUGUCCAGUGGUGCGCUGCCGGUUGCAGCGGCUGAGACGGUCGCGUCCUUUUUCACUCCCGCCGCGUCAGCGGAGACGCCACCUGGGCGGCCGUCUACAUCCUCGGCGGCGGCCUCGCCGCUACCCCACACAGAGUCGGCUCAGGCGCCAUCGGCGUCGCACUUGCUUCGCAACAAGAAGUGGCGCCUGAAGGCAGGCGUGGCGCUUGAGGCGCAGGAGCAGGCGUCAAUGAUGGCCGCCAUGAAUCACCGGCUGGGAAAGGCCGGCUCGGUGGAGGUGAGGUGCAGCAUGCCGCAUGCCCCUACGAAUGCUGCCGAGGAGGUGAACUACUACCGCGCCGACCUCGGUCUUCCCUACUGGUGCUCGCACCCGGUCACCGUACACGCACGAAAAAUGUUUGACGAGCUGCAAGAGAUCGCCGCUUCGAUUCGCGCAACGCGGGUGAUGCAUUUCUUGGCAUCCGAGGAGAGCGCUGGCGGUGACGGGCGUCGAGUGCGGUGGAAGGUCCGAGGCACCACAGACUCGAGCGGACGCAAUGACGGCUACCACCGCGGCUGCAACUCCCCGCCUCCGCUGUUAAAGGACCGCGAUAGCUCUUCCUUCUACUAUUUCCGCGACUGCGACGUGGACGGAGACAGCGCGCUUCGGCACUUGGCAGCGCAUCGCCGGCAGCGGGAAGAGUGGCUCACGGCGCCCGUCAGUGGGGCGGACGGGCAAACGGCCGCAGACUUGCUACGUGAACUGGCAGGUCUGCGCAUGCGCCGUGCAAGUGACCGGAAGCGACUAAAGGUGGUGCAGGCAUCGCUGCCGCAGCAGCUCACGAAAGCCGCCGCUGCUUCUGACAUGGCGGAGGAGGCCGCUGGGGCAAAGGGGAUGACGAAAGGAGCCCGCGCCGGCGCCACAGACCCUGAGCCGGAGUCGCCGGACCUGCACUUCUUGUCUCCAGAAGCGCUGCUGAGGGCUUGCGCGCUGCAGCGGCUCGGCAGGCGAACGCAGCAGCGGCUGAUGCAGACGUCGCAGCGCAUUGCCGAGCUUCAGCGACUGCUGGACUUGCACUUUGGCCAUUGCCAGCUGAAGGACUCCGAGGACUCGCUCUCGUGGGAGACGGCGCGGAGGGUGGCGGCUGAGGGGUCACAGGGGCUGCUCGGCGCCAAUGGCACAUUACACUUGGCGGGCCAUUUGUGGAGCUCUCCCUACUUAAACGACACCGUCCUGGAUGCGAACGCUCAGCAGCAUCAGCAGAGGGGCACCUGCGCCGGCUACUCUCGUGGACAGCUGAUGUAUCUUCCGAUAGGGCUGGCGGGGGCGCGAGACGCAGAUGGCAACAGCAGCGGUGGGGCUGGAGCGUAUUUCAUGCUUGACGGGUCUGUCAUCUCCGCCGCGCCGUUCGCCCCAUUCUCGACGGCGGCAAGCAAGGGUGGCCAGGGCAGCAACGAAGAAUCGGAGCGGCCUGCGAUGCCGGAUCGCAUUACUCCGUUUGUGGCGGUUAUGGAGUACUGCCGAGGCGUGCAGAUGGGCCGCCCGCUUGGUCGGCGCGCCGGGCCCGUGUAUCUCUUCCAGGACCAUGAAAGCGGUGACUACUACGUCGGUGAUCAGGCUGGCCGCAACGUGCUAAAGGCGGAUGACGACACCGCUGGCGAUGCGGUCGGCAUACGAGCAGAGGCGGACACGCAACGGUCGCUGCUGCCCAUGACGCGCAUUUUGUUCCCAGCGCCGAUGCAGUUUACCGUGGCCGACGCUUCUUCUGUCGCGUCUUCUGUGGCGGCAUCUGCUGCAGCGAGCACGGCACUUCACCCCAUCUAUCUUGUGCCCAUGGCGAUUCCUCUCUCGGACGAAGAGGCAGUGAUACAGGAGGGCUGGCAGGCGUGCCACCGACACGGACACACACGUCGCGAUCCCAUCUACUACACGACAAUGGCACCCCUUCCACUCUCGAAAUCGUAUCAUCACGUUGUGCCACAGCCAGGAAACGCCGACGCCGUCGCUCUUGCGGAGGCGGCAGCUGACGCGGCCGCCGUUUCGCACAAUGGCGACAGCAAUGCACCUGUGAACCAUUACCUUCGCAGCCCACCUUGCGUGUUCCAGCCGGCUGACGAGGCCGCUGCAAUGAUGCGCGUGCGCUCCUUGCAGCUCCAGCAGCGCCGAGGUGCUAAUAAAUCUUUUCCUGAUACCGCGGCGGUGGACAGCAGCGCCGCUUGCGCGCGUUCCGGCCUCCUAUCGCCAGACGUCACAGCGAGCUCGGCCGUGACCCCGACAUCCACGUUACCGUCUUCAGUGGGCCCUCUCUCCGGCUAUGCUCUCUCUUCCCCCGAAGCGCAUCUCCUCGGUGCGGUGCCGUUGCUUGCCGCUGACUGGCAAGGGAGUCGAGGCCCAGUGGCAGCCGCGCCGCUUCCUGGCAGCUCCAGCAACCACGCUGCCGUACCGUUAGCGCUGUCUCCCUCCACAGAGCCUGUCACCACGCUGACUAAAACGGGGCACGACGGCGUGCCACCCCUCACCAAGCUCGUGCCUCACACCUCUGCUGCUGCAGCGGCGGCGGCGCCAGUAUCUUCCGCCACGAGCUUCUCCCCUCCCCUUGCUGCAGCACUGGUGCUGGCGAAGGAGCGGCGUAACGCGAGGCUUGCCGAGGAGGCAGAGCGUGCCGCACAGGCAAAGACGCUUCGGCAGGAGUCGCUGCGAAAUCGAACUCUGACGCGCGCGGCACCGAACAAGGAGACUGACGUUCCACGCGUUCCGCCGCACCGUCUCGCCCCCCUCAUCGGCAAGCACCCAGGUGACGAGGCGUCGCCCAUGCUACCCCUCCCCGUUGACUCUGCAAGACUGCAGAGUCAGAUGCGUCCGGAAAAGUGGGCACUGACGCCGCCGCCGCCGUCGCUGCGGUGGCGGGAGGUGAACGGUGGUGAACUGAAUGCCUGGAAUCUCAACAGCGACGUCGGCGACGCAGUGUAGGCCACGCCGUCCGUGUGCUUCCCUCCUUCGUGCUGCUCCACGUGCACUGCUUCAUGUGAGCGAGGGCAGUGAACAUCUUUUUCUGUCGACGGGCUUGCCUGUGCGCGCACAUCCGACUUCGCUCUCCUUUUCUCUGUGCUUAGCUGAUGUUCCAUCUCUCUCUCUCCCCGUCUGUAUGUCUCGGUUUCGCAUUCUUCGGUGCUUGCAAUGAUGUACAGAAUUGCCUCGACGGUGGGGGGGGGAAGGGAUGCCGCAGGCGACACUUGCACACGUCUUGCCGUUGGUGCCUCCGUCGCUCUUUCACGGUUGUAAAGGACAACAACAACGACACCGAAGAGGAACAGAAAAUCAGCCGGAUGCUUUAUGCUUCCUCUUUUUAGUGUUCAUUGGAAAGACGCGGUGCAUCACUUCGCCCGCCCAUCCCCCCUUCUCUGCCUGUCUCUUUUAUCUCUGGUUCUCAUUUCUGUUCUCUGCCCAUGCUUCUGCUCGUUGGGUACGUGUGCGCGUUACACUUCUGUUUUUCUUGCUCGUUUUCUUCGUUUCCCUUUUCCUUGGUGCGCGUUAUGGUGCGUGGUGCAGCCCCGCACUCCUCCGCCUCGAUAACCGCGCGCAUGCGCGGAGAACGCAACGGAGAAGGUGAGCCCAGAAAGAACGAGAGAAACUACGCCAGCAGAGGGGUAGACCGCGUGCGCACGUGUGGAGCGCCUCGACGAAGUACAACAAGCAAGC